This 831-nucleotide ribosomal RNA is filed under the name Eimeriidae sp. R12-278. RNAcentral describes it as "SSU rRNA". It matches the Rfam family "Eukaryotic small subunit ribosomal RNA", at positions 234 to 1065 of the family's 1831-position model. The record is from RNAcentral. Lineage: Eukaryota; Apicomplexa; Conoidasida; Eucoccidiorida; Eimeriidae.
AGUGGAGUCUUGGUGAUUCAUAGUAACCGAACGGAUCGCAAUUGGCUUCGGCCCGCGAUAGAUCUUUCAAGUUUCUGACCUAUCAGCUUUCGACGGUAGGGUAUUGGCCUACCGUGGCAGUGACGGGUAACGGGGAAUUAGGGUUCGAUUCCGGAGAGGGAGCCUGAGAAACGGCUACCACAUCUAAGGAGGGCAGCAGGCGCGCAAAUUACCCAAUGAAAACAGUUUCGAGGUAGUGACGAGAAAUAACAAUACAGAGCAUCUAAUGUUUUGUAAUUGGAAUGAUGGGAAUCCAAAACCCUUUCAGAGUAACAAUUGGAGGGCAAGUCUGGUGCCAGCAGCCGCGGUAAUUCCAGCUCCAAUAGCGUAUAUUAGAGUUGUUGCAGUUAAAAAGCUCGUAGUUGGAUUUCUGUCUUCGUUCUCCGGUACCGCCCUCGCGGGUGUGCACUUGGUUGUACGUUGGCAUUCUUCCGGUUGUCCUUCCGCUCUUAAUUGCGCGGUUGGGUGUUCCGGAACUUUUACUUUGAGAAAAAUAGAGUGUUUCAAGCAGGCUUGUCGCCUUGAAUACUGCAGCAUGGAAUAAUAAGAUAGGACUUUGGUUCUAUUUUGUUGGUUUCUAGGACUAAAGUAAUGAUUAAUAGGGACAGUUGGGGGCAUUCGUAUUUAACUGUCAGAGGUGAAAUUCUUAGAUUUGUUAAAGACGAACUACUGCGAAAGCAUUUGCCAAGGAUGUUUUCAUUAAUCAAGAACGACAGUAGGGGGUUUGAAGACGAUUAGAUACCGUCGUAAUCUCUACCAUAAACUAUGCCGACUAGAGAUAGGGAAAUGCCU